AUGAAAGUAGACUGCUUGGAGUUGGUGACACUUUGGAACUCUCGCCACAAUUCACGAUCUAUUGUGGCCUAUUUAUUAGAUGAGAUAGGAGAGCUCAGUACUUACUUUACAUCAUUUGAUGUUCGCCAUGUAAGUAGAUCAGCUAAUCUUCCUGUGCAUCUAUGUGCGAAGCGUGCUUGUGCACUUGAUGUAACAGAUAGCUGGAUAGAUGAAACUCCAAGCUUUCUGAUGACCAGCCUAUUGGCUGACUCAUCCAUGAAUGCUUUUCGAUGA
Molecule: ribosomal RNA, 273 nt
Filed under: Triticum aestivum (bread wheat)
Lineage: Eukaryota; Viridiplantae; Streptophyta; Magnoliopsida; Poales; Poaceae
Description: partial small subunit ribosomal RNA
Source: RNAcentral